UGCGGACAAAAGGCCAGCUGGACCUCCUCGAAUUCACGAUGAGUGCGGCCGAAGCCCUAGGAAAAGCCGGGACUGUUGCAAAGAGCCACAGAAGCGCGGAAGACCGUCGCUCUCACCGCUACAGCCAUCCAAAAAGCUGCGUUGUUUUGCCCCACGCCCUGGCGAUGACGUCAGAGCCGAAAGAAGAGAGAAGACGAAGCUGAAGGAGUGGUCCAUUCACAAGAACAGCAUUGCACAGAACAGGCAGAGGACAUUGCACAGCUCAAGGAAGUAAUAAUUGCAUGUUACACACCGGCGCUCCUGAACCUAGGACGAGAGAUGCUGUUUCCUCUAGAGAACGCCCUUGACCUACAGGAUAACGCAGCCGUGCCUGCCUAUUCGAGCUUCGCGGAAGGUCCCCGGAACCAGCUAAACGAUGCCAUCGAGAGAACCUCGAUGUAUCCCGACUGGUCCAGGCGCAGCAGUACAACCGAGGCUGAAGGAACAAGACGUUCAGCGUGGGUCACCUUGUCCUCAAACAGACACAUCCGCUCAGCGACGCAGCACGAGGCUUUGCAGCUUCCCUCGCUGACAGACGGGAAGGCCCCUUCGUGGUAUCUGCCCGCGAAUCAAGGAUCACCUACAGUCUACGAGGCUGUGCAGACGGAGCGGAGAUAGGCUCAGUAUAUAUCUCGGACCUAAGGCCGUUCUACCUAAGGCCCGAGAACGACGAAUCUGUCCAGGACCUUCACGGACGGCCCCGUCGUGCCAGUCCAGACCUCUUCAUGGCGAAGACACAACUAAAGUCCCAGCACCGUUUCAUGGUCGGACCUUGGAUGUAGGUCACCCCGCUGAUCCCCAUCUGCCACUUUCGGAUGACGAAUACCGGCUGCUAUGUCCUACGUGCAUUCUACCGAAAUCUAUUGCUCUACACACCUAAAAGUGGCGUUACAUCGCCGUAAUCUUACUGAACGAGACGAGAGACUGCUUAGGGCACAGUCAGUGGAGUCUGCAUUGGCCACGCUUCGUCGUCUGCGUCCUGAUCUCCUCACUGUGCGCCGUCCGCGUUCCCCGGACCCACCGGACAUAGUUAUUGACAUGUCCGAUGGCAUUCUGUAACCACCCGCUACCUACUCUUGGAUGCGGGGGAAGGUCGGCAACGACGACGAGGUGGCGAUGAAGGUGUGGGAAGAGGACGACGAGGACAGAUAAGAGGCAUCUGCAGAGGCACGAAAAGGGAGAAGGUUUCGGGCAGCGUUUGGUGGCUGACUGCAGAAGCGAUCGGGCGGCUGCACUCUUCGUGGCAGGGAUUUCAGGACUCCUCGUGUAUCGUUUGGGGGCGGAAGGUAAUAAACCUUGUUUGUUGUAGGU
Molecule: long non-coding RNA, 1350 nt
Organism: Ornithodoros turicata
Lineage: Eukaryota; Metazoa; Arthropoda; Arachnida; Ixodida; Argasidae
Exons: 3
Source: RefSeq, a predicted model, not a curated record